Molecule: ribosomal RNA, 151 nt
Filed under: uncultured Alphaproteobacteria bacterium
Lineage: Bacteria; Pseudomonadati; Pseudomonadota; Alphaproteobacteria
Description: partial 16S ribosomal RNA
Rfam family: Bacterial small subunit ribosomal RNA
Source: RNAcentral
UGGGGAACUUAGACAAUGGGGGCAACCCUGAUCUAGCCUGCCGCGUGUGUGAUGAAGGCCCUAGGGUCGUAAAGCACUUUCGCCAGAGAUGAUAAUGACAGUAUCUGGUAAAGAAACCCCGGCUAACUCCGUGCCAGCAGCCGCGGUAAUA